Molecule: microRNA, 17 nt
Filed under: Homo sapiens (human)
Lineage: Eukaryota; Metazoa; Chordata; Mammalia; Primates; Hominidae
Description: hsa-miR-4296
Source: miRBase by way of RNAcentral
AUGUGGGCUCAGGCUCA